This 472-nucleotide ribosomal RNA is filed under the name uncultured bacterium. RNAcentral describes it as "bacterial SSU rRNA". It matches the Rfam family "Bacterial small subunit ribosomal RNA", at positions 335 to 799 of the family's 1533-position model. The record is from RNAcentral.
ACUCCUACGGGAGGCAGCAGUAGGGAAUCUUCCACAAUGGACGAAAGUCUGAUGGAGCAACGCCGCGUGAACGAUGAAGGCCUCGGUCGUAAGUUACUGUUGUAAGGGAAGAACAAGUAGCCGCAGGCAAUGGCGGCACCUUGACGGUACCUUGCGAGAAAGCCACGGCUAACUACGUGCCAGCAGCCGCGGUAAUACGUAGGUGGCAAGCGUUGUCCGGAAUUAUUGGGCGUAAAGCGCGCGCAGGCGGCCUCUUAAGUCUGAUGUGAAAGCCCCGGCUCAACCGGGGGAGGGCCAUUGGAAACUGGGAGGCUUGAGUAUAGGAGAGAAGAGUGGAAUUCCACGUGUAGCGGUGAAAUGCGUAGAGAUGUGGAGGAACACCAGUGGCGAAGGCGACUCUUUGGCCUAUAACUGACGCUGAGGCGCGAAAGCGUGGGGAGCAAACAGGAUUAGAUACCCUGGUAGGAUAGCG